Molecule: ribosomal RNA, 719 nt
Filed under: uncultured bacterium
Lineage: Bacteria
Description: bacterial SSU rRNA
Rfam family: Bacterial small subunit ribosomal RNA
Source: RNAcentral
GCGUGGAUGAGGCAUGCAAGUCGAACGACUGCUAGUUUGGUAGUAAUACCGAGCUAGCGAAAGUGGCGAAAGGGGCAGUAAUGCAUGGAUAACCUACCUUGGGGUUGGGCAUAGCCGUUCUAACGAGCGGGUAAUUCCCAGAGAUUCAGCGGAGGGGCAUCCCUCUGCUGGGAAAGAAUUUCGCCUCGAGAGGGGUCCAUGUGCUAUUAGCUAGUUGGUAGGGUAACGGCCUACCAAGGCUAAGAUGGCUAGCGGGUGUGAGAGCACGACCCGCGCCACUGGCACUGAGACACUGGCCAGACACCUACGGGUGGCUGCAGUCGAGGAUCUUCGUCAAUGGGCGCAAGCCUGAACGAGCGACGCCGCGUGCGCGAUGAAGGCCUUCGGGUUGUAAAGCGCGAAAGUGGAGAGAAAGGGAAACUUGAUCAAUCCACAGUAAGGACGGGCUAAGUUCGUGCCAGCAGCCGCGGUAAGACGAACUGUCCUAACGUUGUUCGGAAUCACUGGGCUUAAAGGGCGCGUAGGCGGUCCGACAAGUCAGGGGUGAAAUCCUGCAGCUUAACUGCAGAAGUGCCUCUGAUACUGUCGGUCUGGAGGGAGAUAGGGGUGUGCGGAACUUCCAGUGGAGCGGUGAAAUGCGUUGAUAUUGGAAGGAACGCCGGAGGCGAAAGCGGCGCACUGGAUCUCUUCUGACGCUGAGGCGCGAAAGCUAGGGGAGC